This 460-nucleotide ribosomal RNA is filed under the name uncultured bacterium. RNAcentral's name for it is "partial 16S ribosomal RNA". It matches the Rfam family "Bacterial small subunit ribosomal RNA", at positions 338 to 795 of the family's 1533-position model. The record is from RNAcentral.
CCUACGGGGGGCAGCAGUGAGGAAUAUUGGUCAAUGGGCGUAAGCCUGAACCAGCCAAGUAGCGUGAAGGAUGACUGUUCUAUGGAUUGUAAACCUCUUUUAUAAAGGAAUAAAGUGCGGCACGUGUGCCGUUUUGUAUGUACUUUAUGAAUAAGGAUCGGCUAACUCCGUGCCAGCAGCCGCGGUAAUACGGAGGAUCCGAGCGUUAUCCGGAUUUAUUGGGUUUAAAGGGAGCGUAGAUGGGUUGUUAAGUCAGUUGUGAAAGUUUGCGGCUCAACCGUAAAAUUGCAAUUGAUACUGGCAGUCUUGAGUACAGUUGAGGUAGGCGGAAUUCGUGGUGUAGCGGUGAAAUGCUUAGAUAUCACGAAGAACUCCGAUUGCGAAGGCAGCUUACUAAACUGCCACUGACAUUGAUGCUCGAAAGUGUGGGUAUCAAACAGGAUUAGAUACCCGAGUAGUC